UGGGGAAUUUUGGACAAUGGACGCAAGUCUGAUCCAGCCAUUCCGCGUGCAGGAUGAAGGCCCUCGGGUUGUAAACUGCUUUUGUACGGAACGAAAAGGUCUCUCCUAAUACGAGGGGCUCAUGACGGUACCGUAAGAAUAAGCACCGGCUAACUACGUGCCAGCAGCCGCGGUAAUACGUAGGGUGCAAGCGUUAAUCGGAAUUACUGGGCGUAAAGCGUGCGCAGGCGGUUAUAUAAGACAGAUGUGAAAUCCCCGGGCUCAACCUGGGAACUGCAUUUGUGACUGUAUAGCUAGAGUACGGUAGAGGGGGAUGGAAUUCCGCGUGUAGCAGUGAAAUGCGUAGAUAUGCGGAGGAACACCGAUGGCGAAGGCAAUCCCCUGGACCUGUACUGACGCUCAUGCACGAAAGCGUGGGGAGCAAACA
RNAcentral lists this ribosomal RNA (427 nucleotides) under uncultured Limnohabitans sp. RNAcentral describes it as "bacterial SSU rRNA". It matches the Rfam family "Bacterial small subunit ribosomal RNA", at positions 355 to 774 of the family's 1533-position model. Lineage: Bacteria; Pseudomonadati; Pseudomonadota; Betaproteobacteria; Burkholderiales; Comamonadaceae. The record is from RNAcentral.